Molecule: ribosomal RNA, 424 nt
Filed under: Fusobacteriota bacterium
Lineage: Bacteria; Fusobacteriati; Fusobacteriota
Description: Fusobacteria bacterium partial 16S ribosomal RNA
Rfam family: Bacterial small subunit ribosomal RNA
Source: RNAcentral
UGAGGAAUAUUGGUCAAUGGACGAGAGCCUGAACCAGCCAAGUAGCGUGCAGGAUGACGGCCCUAUGGGUUGUAAACUGCUUUUAUGUGGGGAUAAAGUGCGUGACGUGUCAUGCAUUGCAGGUACCACAUGAAUAAGGACCGGCUAAUUCCGUGCCAGCAGCCGCGGUAAUACGGAAGGUCCGGGCGUUAUCCGGAUUUAUUGGGUUUAAAGGGAGCGUAGGCUGUCUAUUAAGCGUGUUGUGAAAUUUACCGGCUCAACCGGUGGCUUGCAGCGCGAACUGGUCGACUUGAGUAUGCAGGAAGUAGGCGGAAUUCAUGGUGUAGCGGUGAAAUGCUUAGAUAUCAUGACGAACUCCGAUUGCGCAGGCAGCUUACUGUAGCAUAACUGACGCUGAUGCUCGAAAGUGCGGGUAUCAAACAGG